CCUACGGGGGGCAGCAGUGGGGAAUAUUGCGCAAUGGGGGCAACCCUGACGCAGCCAUGCCGCGUGUGUGAAGAAGGCCCUAGGGUUGUAAAGCACUUUCAAUUGGGAGGAAAGGUUGUCCGUUAAUAACGUGCAACUGUGACGUUACCUUUAGAAGAAGCACCGGCUAACUCCGUGCCAGCAGCCGCGGUAAUACGGAGGGUGCGAGCGUUAAUCGGAAUUACUGGGCGUAAAGCGCGCGUAGGCGGUUUGUUAAGUCGGAUGUGAAAGCCCCGGGCUCAACCUGGGAACUGCAUUCGAUACUGGCCGACUAGAGUACGAGAGAGGGAGGUAGAAUUCCACGUGUAGCGGUGAAAUGCGUAGAUAUGUGGAGGAAUACCGGUGGCGAAGGCGGCCUCCUGGCUCGAUACUGACGCUGAGGUGCGAAAGCGUGGGGAGCAAACAGGAUUAGAUACCCCCGUAGUC
RNAcentral lists this ribosomal RNA (465 nucleotides) under uncultured bacterium. Its description in RNAcentral is "bacterial SSU rRNA". It matches the Rfam family "Bacterial small subunit ribosomal RNA", at positions 338 to 795 of the family's 1533-position model. The record is from RNAcentral.